UACCCACCCCAGGCCCUUCCCAUGAAGUUAGUUCCUGGCCCAUGUUCCCAGAACCCCAGCCUCUGUCUGCUCACCCUUCCCCCUGCCCAGCUGGACAGGGAUCCCAAACUUCAGGGCUAACAGCUGCCUUCCGGUCUGCCUGGGUUUCACUUAAGGAACCUUUCUUCCUGUCUCAGGGCCCCAGUGACUGGCUGCAGGCUGGAAACCGCCUAAUCUCCAGCAAACAUGCCGGGUGGGGCAGGGCCCCCUCCCUUGAGGAGGCACAGGCCAGGGCACCCGGAUUCAGAUAGCAGGCUUGGAUGUGCAGCCCCCAGGAGCUGGCAGCAGGGACUAACGAGGUUGGUCAGAGUCCAACCUGCAGCUAAACCUUUGGUUACUAUGGAAAUGAGCCACCCAGGGGCAACAGACAGAAUCCCUGGCUGCUCCCAGGCCCAGUUGGGGCAGGCACCUGCUCUUGCUGUGGGGAAAGCCAGGGAUGGCCACUCUGCCCUGGACAGCCUGUUCCAGGGCAGGGCAUCUUUCAGGCCUGCACCCCUCUGAAGAGUGGGACCAGAGGAAGGAAGGAGGCCUGAGCCUCCUCAGCUCCCAGGCCUCUGCAUGGAGCCUGGGUUGGAGAGUUCUGGUUUGGAGGUCUGCUUGCCUGGCAUCUCAGCACAUGCCAUCCACUGUCCUGCACUUGUGCCCUGGGGGCCCCACACUGCCAUUCAGCCUCACCUCCGCCCUGUUGGAACCCGGACAGGCUCUGGACCACUGUCUGCUCCCUGCGCACCGCUGAAGACCAGCUGUGGCACCUGGAAGUGUGUCCUCACCUUGAAGCCCACCCUUUUGCCUUCUGGAGUCUGGAGGGGUGUGUCCGUCUGGGGGACGCGGGGGAGGGGCUGUGCAACGGGGCAGGAUUAGAAGGGUGAGGCUAUCCUGGGCCUUCAGAGUUUUCACUAUAGUUUCUUAACCCUUUUGGAUGGAAGGAAAUUCUCAGGAAGCUGCGACACCCCCCUCCGAGUGGAGGAAAAUUGCAGAGGCAGCUGUUUCUGGGUCAUCUGCCUCUCAGGGGUGAGCGUGCCUGAGCUCCACUGGGGCAGGACACUGAGGUGGCCGUCCAUGGUGGAGCCACACGAGACAGGUGCAAGGUCCAGGGCUUGCAGGCUGGAGAAGUCGCAGGCAGGCCCCUGGAUGGUCUGUAGGUGAACCACACCCUUGCUAUUCAGAGAGUGGUCCACGGACCAGCAGCAGCAGCAUCUGGGAGCCUAUUAGAUGCAAGACUUCAGGUCCCAGCCCAGACCCCUAGAUAAGAAUCUGACAGGAUUCUCACUUACCCAGGGGACAUUCAAGUUUGAGAAUAUCCCAACCUGGCAUCUGGGCCACUGUGGGCUGGACCUGGAGAUCCUGGGUUGACUCACGGAAGCUGGAAGAGACUCGAGGUUCCUGCAGGUGCAGCUUGGGCACUCUGACAUCCGGGUCUGGAUUGUCCUGUGUACUGUGGGAUGAUGGCCCAUGUCCGGGCCCCUUCUCGCUAGUAGAUGGGAGUAGCACCCCCAGUGUGACAGCCAAAAAUGACUACAGACGUGGUGAAAUGUCCUCUGGGGGCAAAGUCUCUCCAGUGCAGAGGCCCCGCCCUGCCCCAUGGUUCCCUAGCUGCCUGCAGAGCAGACAGAACCCCCUGGGAGCUCCUAGGCCCCUUGGCAUCAGAACCUCUGGGGAGAGGCCCUGACAUAAUUUCAAACAUUCCCCAGAAUACUGGUGAUCAACUUGUGAAUACACUCGAACCACUCGAUCAUACAAAGGACAAACUGCAGUGUGUCCCUUUGGUCAUAGUUGCUAUUAAGAUAGCUCCUGGCGGGGGGGGGGGGGUGGGAGAGUUGGAUGGAGCUGCUCAGCACAAGCCCCUCAUGGCAGCUGGGAGCCACCAGAUUCCUGACCCUCGAGCCUGCAGUGCACAAGGGUCCCGGCGGUGCUUGAGGCAGCUUUUCCAGAGGAGGGACCAGGAAUCUGAUUUUAACUAAGUGCCCCAAGGCACCGUGGGAACCAGAGCAGGAAGGGGCAGAAGGCAGGGCUGGAGCUUUCCCACCCCCCAAGUCUGAGCAUCUCCCAGGCAAGCAGAGGGCGGCGAAAGGGGGUGGAAAACUCAAGAGGAGCCAGAGGUGGCCCAGCUGGAUGCCACGUGCCCCAGAACACAGACCCUGGAACUUCCUCAACUCCCCGAGCCUGGAGGUUUGGAAGCAAGACUGAAGGAGGCAGGAAGCACCCACUGCACGUUCAGGUAUAAACUGGCUAAAAAGCAAAGGUGCCGACAUCCAUAUGGCACAGACCCACGUUUACAGCCGUCCUCAGCUGUCUUCCUCAGGCACCUCCUGGGAGCUGCCUCAGCAGGAUCCAGAGCCUCGUCCCCUCAGUCCAGCUUCCCUGGGCUUCCUCUCCUGUUACCUGACCGCCAGACCUGAGCUCCAGAUGACUUUGUUUCCAAAAUUCCACUCUAAAAAACACCAUUUGCAUCCAUGAUCCAUGAGGCGGCUGGAAAGAAUGUGACCAGGGUUGUGCACUGCUCCUUUCUGAAGGGGAAAGUGGCAGCUCCUGGGAACGGGGCCUGGCCUCCUGGAGUGGGGGUGGCCCUUCAGGGCUGCUGCCGAAGGAUCGGUGUGGCCCCUCGGGGGCUUGCAGACUCACAGGUCCUGGAUAUACGUGGCUGGGCUUACACUGUUUUUUGUCUUAUCUGCCAGCAUUUUAAAAUCGGGAGUGUACAUGAAAAGCCUCCCUCUGGCUCACCUUGGCCAAGUUCCCUUAAGGCCGCAAGUGACUGAAGCUGACCACCCGAGAGGGGACACAGCCCAGCCUGUCCCUGACCGGCAGCCACCCUGCCAACCACCGCGGACACGUAUGUGUCCAGCUCCCAUCUCGGGAGUCGGUUGCCAUCUCUGAAGGGGUCUGCUCUGCUCUGGAAGGAAACGCCUUGCCACAUGGAGUGGAGGAGGGCUCGGGGUGAAACGGGGCUCUGAAAUGCUUUCUGUGGGCAGGCAGGGCUCCUCCUUCAGGGCGUCAAAGAGAAGGGCUUGUUCUGAGAUUCCCUUGGUCGAAGGUGGAUGGUCCCGGGCCUGCUGAGAGUCCCCUGGGGUCUCUGAGAACACCCUGGCCAGCUGCAGACCAUGCUGUCCCCGAGCCUGGCCCGCAGGCCCAGUGGUGGGCGGCGGCCGCAGUGGCCCUGGAGGUCUCCCAGGGCUUUUCAGAGCAGGACUGACCUGAGGACAGACCAGGGCUUUGACUCCGGUUAGUGCCGGCGUCGGCUUCUGGCAGGCCGCCUGCGAUGGCCAAGAGGAGAGCUUUUGAGGCAAGGCUGGUUCCAAUUCCUGCCUUUGGGAAGGUCUCCAGUUGCUUAGCCACAGCUCAUGUUUGGGAAUGUAUGUAUUUCGAGUAAGUCUCACAAGAACAAAGCUCUUUUAGGGGUGUGGGGGCCCGGGUCCUUCUGGGAAGAGUGGGGAAGGGCCCACCUCCUGGACGCCCGAGGUGCUGGGGGCCUGUGGGCAGAGUUCUGCUCUGCUUUCUGGGACCAUUUCUCACUUCCUGGAGCCUAAGAGCUGCAAAUAUUGGGGGACUCCUUUUCUGCAGCUCCUGGGGAAGCCACGAGCAAGAGGAAGAAGGGGAGAGAGAAGAGAAGCCCUUCUCUGGAGGUUGUGUGUGUCUGGAGGGCUUCUGUCUGGAGCUCCCAAAUCCAUGGAAGGCAGGGGCAAGCCAGCCAAGGUGGUGACAGGAGGACCUAGUGUCCCUAAGAAGUCCCUGCACAGAAGACCCUUCCUUUAGUGCGUCCACUGUCACGAGUACGGGUGCUGCCUUUCGCCAAGGCAGAGCAUCUGUUUGGAACGCUUUCAUCAGUAGUUUAUACUUUAGGGUUAAGGAGUUUGUGGUCUUUGAGAGGAAAAAAUAUUCAGUAACCCUUACAUUUGCAUCAGCGGGUUGUGGGGCUGGGUUUGGGGGUGCAGUCACUACACAGCAUCUCUAUCCCAGCAGCACCUGGAGGCAGGACCCUCUGGUUGGCAGGAGGCAUCUCAUUCAUGCGGUCCCCUCGUAUCUGGCCAGCCCAUGUGCCCCUCUCUCCACACGACCAAUGCAUCUCGAUCUUAAGAUGGAAAGUUCCAGGGAUUCCCCUUCACUCUGAGACGGGACAGGACAGCUGGUCACCCUAUUCCCUGUCCAGCCUGGCCCUGCUGCCGCGUCCCAGGCCAGGAAGAGCUGUGGCCCCCCCGCAGCAGAGGAGGAGGGUGGGCCAGGGCUUCCCCCAGUUCCCACUCCUACUGGCCCCAUCCCUAGUUCUGUCCUGCUGGGGACGGUGGGGUGGGUCACCCUCCAGAGGCAGCAGCCCAGGAGCAGGUGCAGUACCUCCCUGCCAGCUACCAGGGCCAGGAGCCCCUCCGCCUGGAAUCGGGAAGGGGGUGUUCUGCCUGUGUCCCUGGCAAAGUCUGUGUGGAACUCCCACCUGGGACCAGGCCAAAGACUGGCUUCCCCACCCACCUUACGGGGGACAGAACUGCCAUCUUAAGAUUGCCCCCGGCUGUAGCUGGGUUUGCGAUCACCCCCCUUCCCGAGUGCCCCGGAGGCCUGUCAGGAUGCAGAUGGUCAGUGACCCACCUGGGUUCACGCCUCGCUCCCUGGGCUGCAGGAACCCACUCACCACUGAUUCCGCGGGUGGACCUAGGCAAUGGGCUGAAAGGCAGCUCCGAGGGGCUGAGGGCAGGGCCUGGGUGCCUGUGGUCCCACACAUGUCAAGGCUUCAGGAGACAAGCCUGGCCACACCUGGCACAGGAUCCCCUGCCUCUGACUGCCGAGCCCAGGCAGCACCUCCCUUUCCUGCCAUGGGAGAGAUGACAUGCCUGUGGGCAGCACCUGCUUCCUGGGCAGGUGGCCAGAGAGCUGAGACCUCACUGUGUGACCCUGGGCAAGUCACACGACUGCCCCUGCCCCCAGCUCCUGACCUGCCCGCCCCGUAGGACCAGGGCAGCACAGGGCCCUCUGCCACGGCGGGACGUGUGACGAGGAGGGGAGGCCUGCUGCAAUUCUCUGCAGAGACUCUGACUCAGGGGUGGUGGCCCAAGGAAGGGCCGGCAGGUCCGCCCACCACGUGGCACAGGCAAGGCCACCCCGUGCAGAGGACAUGGGACCAGUCACCCUAAUCCCCAGGGAGAAAAGUGAAAUAUUUUAUUCGGGGGGUAAGCUGACAAAAAUACUCAUCUGCGAUAGGGGAAUGGGGCCACGGCUGCACUGCCAGUGUCCCCCGAGGCAGCGUAGGUCGCUGGGGUCAUGAAGAGCUUGGCCUCACUUGGACACAGUCCUUGGAGAAAAGAAUGAGAGGUCAGAGCCAGGAGUGGCUGCGAGGGGCGGGGGACAGGCUCCGUCAGGUCCAAGGUCCUCCUCCAAGCCAGCACCCGGCCCCCCACCCCGGGUGGACCCCCGGGGAGGGGGUCACCCCACCCCCUGACUCCACCACCCCAGGAUGGAUGCUAGGGGUGCUGAGCCCCAAAACCAUGUAGAGAGAACUCUUGUUUGGUCUCCGUGGAGUGUGACAGACGUGUCAGAAACACUCAAAGGGUCGAGGGUGCGACUGGACAAGUGAGGGGGCGGAGAGGGAGAAAGAGCAGGACUGAGAGGGAGAUGCAAGGACCAAAAACCAUCCGAGGGGCAGAAACACACCAGGCUGUGGCCCUGACUCUGCCGGGCCCCAACUCCACAUCAGGGCGCCCUGACUCCCACUUCCCUCUCUGUUCCACCCGUGCACAGGCAGUGAGUGCAGGAACGAAAGGGCCAGAGAGACGCCAAACGGGGGAGCAGGGCCUGUCCUCUGGGGACGGAGCCGUCCUGGAGGGCUCCCAGGCUGUUGCUCCAAGUGCCCGUGGACUAGCCAGAAGUAAAUACAAACAAUCAGGUUCUUUAAAUACCCAGUUCACAGCAGCCGUCACUCGUGGAAACAAUCAGCACAAAAUAUGUAAGCAAGCACGGAGGAAGGCUGGUUCCCGUGCGAAAACUGGUCCUGAUAGAAAUUACAGUCCCCAAGGCAAAAGGACAGCAGCAUUAGCUGUAAUUGGAACUGAUUCUGAUGAAGUCAUUUCAGCAAAAUUAAAAGGAAAGUGAUUGUUUUUAAAAC
This 6124-nucleotide long non-coding RNA is filed under the name Sus scrofa (pig). Its description in RNAcentral is "lncRNA (ENSSSCG00000063258.1)". Lineage: Eukaryota; Metazoa; Chordata; Mammalia; Artiodactyla; Suidae. The record is from RNAcentral.